Molecule: ribosomal RNA, 272 nt
Filed under: uncultured Eubacteriales bacterium
Lineage: Bacteria; Bacillati; Bacillota; Clostridia; Eubacteriales
Description: uncultured Clostridiales bacterium partial 16S ribosomal RNA
Rfam family: Bacterial small subunit ribosomal RNA
Source: RNAcentral
AGUGAGUAGCUUGCUACGAGCUGUUUUAGCGGCGGACGGGUGAGUAACGCGUGGGUGACCUGCCCCAUACCGGGGGAUAACAGCUGGAAACGGCUGCUAAUACCGCAUAAGCGCACAGAGCUGCAUGGCUCAGUGUGAAAAACUCCGGUGGUAUAAGAUGGACCCGCGUUGGAUUAGCUAGUUGGUGAGGUAACGGCCCACCAAGGCGACGAUCCAUAGCCGACCUGAGAGGGUGACCGGCCACAUUGGGACUGAGACACGGCCCAAACUCC